AUAAUUGUUUGGUUAAUACUUAACAAAAUAUUGAAGACCGGAGAUUUUGUUGUAGUACAAGGUUUAUGGAAACUUUAUCGGGAGCUAUAGGGGUAGUACUGUGAAGGAAGGCUGAAAUAGUGUGUAUAUAUUUAAACUGAUAAAAGAAGGGGUGUGACUCCGUACCUUUUGUAUGAUGGUUUAGUAAGUGUUGCGACUGCUGAUAGGGUCGAGCCCGAAGCUGGGCGAGCUAAUAUAGGCUGUUCGUGAGGAAUACUAACCGUUACUGUUGCAGUAGUAAGGUUUGAGCUUAUAUUAGGUGUGAGAUGCUAAUCGCGCCCAGGGAUAGCUGGUUCCCUCGGAGAGUAGUGUGAGCUAGUACUUCAUGUGUGUUGGGGAGCUGUUACCAGCUCUGGUAAGUGAGUGUUGUCCUGGCACCGUUGUAGUUGGUAGACAAGAGGGGAUAAGCUUUCUUGUCUGGGAAGAAAAAGCUUUGUUUAUAGGUUAAGGGCAGGUUUUGUAGAUUAACGCGCUGUUUUUAUAAAAGGAGUAGGAUUAAUAUCAUCUAUCUGGCUUGAUUACGUUAAAGUUCGUUUUAUUUAGGAAAGCGCGAGUAAAUUAAUGCUUGGUGUUUCUUAGGCUGUAAUUUAUUUAUGGGGGAUCUUCAUGUUUUGAAGGUUAUGUUGCUAAAAUUAGUAAGAGUGGUAAGACCUUUUGUGUUUUAAACAAUCCUAACAUUGGAUGGGGGGGCUUAUUUAAUACAGGAAUAGUAGCCUUGGUUUAUUGUCUUCUAACACAAGAGGUUCUUGGUUGUAAAAAUAAGGAAAAGGAACUCGGCAAGUUUUUAUUUCGCCUGUUUACCAAAAACAUCGCCCCUUGUAAAAGCUUCGGCUGACGUAUAAGGGGUCCUGCCUGCCCGGUGACUUAGUUAAACGGCCGCGGUAUUUUGACCGUGCAAAGGUAGCAUAAUCAUUUGCCUUUUAAAUGGGGGCUGGUAUGAAUGGCAAGACGGAAGUGGAGCUGUCUCUUUCUUGUUUUCCGAAUUUAAUUUCUUUGUGAGGAAGCAAAGAUGUAGCCGUGGGACGAGAAGACCCUGUCGAGCUUUAGUGGGUCCACACAAGUGGGUAUUUCGAGCCGUUUGUUGCUAAUUUGCUUAUUAGAGGUAUUAGUGUUACGAAGCAGGGGGCUUUCAUUUUGUGUGGGUCGGUUUUGGUUGGGGCAACCGCGGAGAAGAAGGAUCCUCCGCUGUGUAGAUUAGGGAAAAAGUAUGGUUUUCCUUAUGUAGGUUUUUUUGUUUGAUCCACCGUUUUGGGUGAGCAGAAGAAUAAGUUACCGCAGGGAUAACAGCGUAAUUCCUUUGGAGAGUUCAUAUUGAUAAGGGGGUUUGCGACCUCGAUGUUGGAUCGGGAUUUCCUGGGGGUGCAGCAGCUCCCGAGGGUUGGUCUGUUCGACCAUUAAAAUCCUACGUGAUCUGAGUUCAGACCGGCGGGAGCCAGGUCAGUUUCUAUCCGCGGGUAUUUGAUUAGUAGUUCUCCUUAGUACGAAAGGAUUGGGGGGACGGCAUCUAUGUUUUUAGACAGGUGUCUAGGGGAAGUCCUGGGGGAAGAUGAAGGGAAAAUACAAAUUGUAGAUGCUU
This 1615-nucleotide ribosomal RNA is filed under the name Culcita novaeguineae. Its description in RNAcentral is "16S ribosomal RNA". It matches the Rfam family "Bacterial large subunit ribosomal RNA", at positions 147 to 2758 of the family's 2925-position model. Lineage: Eukaryota; Metazoa; Echinodermata; Asteroidea; Valvatida; Oreasteridae. The record is from RNAcentral.